Molecule: ribosomal RNA, 1179 nt
Filed under: Salmonella enterica
Lineage: Bacteria; Pseudomonadati; Pseudomonadota; Gammaproteobacteria; Enterobacterales; Enterobacteriaceae
Description: partial 23S ribosomal RNA
Rfam family: Bacterial large subunit ribosomal RNA
Source: RNAcentral
GGGUUGUGAGGUUAAGCGACUAAGCGUACACGGUGGAUGCCCUGGCAGUCAGAGGCGAUGAAGGGCGUGCUAAUCUGCGAUAAGCGCCGGUAAGGUGAUAUGAACCGUUAUAACCGGCGAUACCCGAAUGGGGAAACCCAGUGUGACUCGUCACACUAUCAUUAACUGAAUCCAUAGGUUAAUGAGGCGAACCGGGGGAACUGAAACAUCUAAGUACCCCGAGGAAAAGAAAUCAACCGAGAUUCCCCCAGUAGCGGCGAGCGAACGGGGAGGAGCCCAGAGCCUGAAUCAGCAUGUGUGUUAGUGGAAGCGUCUGGAAAGGCGCGCGAUACAGGGUGACAGCCCCGUACACAAAAGCGCAUGUGCUGUGAGCUCGAUGAGUAGGGCGGGACACGUGGUAUCCUGUCUGAAUAUGGGGGGACCAUCCUCCAAGGCUAAAUACUCCUGACUGACCGAUAGUGAACCAGUACCGUGAGGGAAAGGCGAAAAGAACCCCGGCGAGGGGAGUGAAAAAGAACCUGAAACCGUGUACGUACAAGCAGUGGGAGCACAGGUUUACCUGUGUGACUGCGUACCUUUUGUAUAAUGGGUCAGCGACUUAUAUUCUGUAGCAAGGUUAACCGAAUAGGGGAGCCGGAGGGAAACCGAGUCUUAACCGGGCGUUAAGUUGCAGGGUAUAGACCCGAAACCCGGUGAUCUAGCCAUGGGCAGGUUGAAGGUUGGGUAACACUAACUGGAGGACCGAACCGACUAAUGUUGAAAAAUUAGCGGAUGACCUGUGGCUGGGGGUGAAAGGCCAAUCAAACCGGGAGAUAGCUGGUUCUCCCCGAAAGCUAUUUAGGUAGCGCCUCGUGAACUCAUCUCCGGGGGUAGAGCACUGUUUCGGCUAGGGGGCCAUCCCGGCUUACCAACCCGAUGCAAACUGCGAAUACCGGAGAAUGUUAUCACGGGAGACACACGGCGGGUGCUAACGUCCGUCGUGAAGAGGGAAACAACCCAGACCGCCAGCUAAGGUCCCAAAGUCAUGGUUAAGUGGGAAACGAUGUGGGAAGGCCCAGACAGCCAGGAUGUUGGCUUAGAAGCAGCCAUCAUUUAAAGAAAGCGUAAUAGCUCACUGGUCGAGUCGGCCUGCGCGGAAGAUGUAACGGGGCUAAACCAUGCACCGAAGCUGCGGCAGCG